This 228-nucleotide long non-coding RNA is filed under the name Olea europaea (common olive). RNAcentral's name for it is "long non-coding RNA (OEUR_LNC010239)". Lineage: Eukaryota; Viridiplantae; Streptophyta; Magnoliopsida; Lamiales; Oleaceae. The record is from RNAcentral.
CCCAGGGCACAUCUCCAAGUGGUAAAAGGGGAGGGUAGAGAAAUCCAGCUUUGCUUGAGGCUGCUGCGUCAAGGGUUCGAAUCCUGAAAUAUGGAUUUGGCUCUUGGGUAAGUGUAAGUGUACAAGCAGCCUUCCACCCUGUACCCUUGGAGGCAUAACCUGCAAUUUACCUCCCUCACGAUGCUCCAGGGCAGGGGUGGUGGGGGACCCUUAAGGUUAGGGUUUAAC